This 448-nucleotide ribosomal RNA is filed under the name uncultured bacterium. Its description in RNAcentral is "bacterial SSU rRNA". It matches the Rfam family "Bacterial small subunit ribosomal RNA", at positions 355 to 825 of the family's 1533-position model. The record is from RNAcentral.
UGGGGAAUAUUGGACAAUGGGGGCAACCCUGAUCCAGCAAUGCCGCGUGAGUGAAGAAGGCCUUAGGGUUGUAAAACUCUUUUGUUAGUGAAGAAGAUGACGGUAACUAACGAAUAAGCCCCGGCUAACUCCGUGCCAGCAGCCGCGGUAAUACGGAGGGGGCUAGCGUUGUUCGGAAUUACUGGGCGUAAAGGGCAUGUAGGCGGUUUUGUAAGUUAGACGUGAAAUCCCCGGGCUUAACCUGGGAACUGCGUAUAAGACUGCAAGACUAGGGUACGGGAGAGGAUAAGGGGAAUUUCUAGUGUAGAGGUGAAAUUCGUAGAUAUUAGAAGGAACACCAGUUGCGAAGGCGCUUAUCUGGCCCGUUACAGACGCUAAGAUGCGAAAGCGUGGGGAGCAAACAGGAUUAGAUACCCGUGUAGUCCCUGAGCGGGCUGGCAAGGCGCAU